RNAcentral lists this transfer RNA (85 nucleotides) under Eustigmatophyceae sp. Chic 10/23 P-6w. RNAcentral's name for it is "tRNA-Ser". It matches the Rfam family "tRNA". From Rfam's summary of the family: Transfer RNA (tRNA) molecules are approximately 80 nucleotides in length. Their secondary structure includes four short double-helical elements and three loops (D, anti-codon, and T loops). Further hydrogen bonds mediate the characteristic L-shaped molecular structure. tRNAs have two regions of fundamental functional importance: the anti-codon, which is responsible for specific mRNA codon recognition, and the 3' end, to which the tRNAs corresponding amino acid is attached (by aminoacyl-tRNA synthetases). tRNAs cope with the degeneracy of the genetic code in two manners: having more than one tRNA (with a specific anti-codon) for a particular amino acid; and 'wobble' base-pairing, i.e. permitting non-standard base-pairing at the 3rd anti-codon position. The record is from RNAcentral. Lineage: Eukaryota; Eustigmatophyceae. RNAcentral also lists the same sequence under 3 other names.
GGAGGGGUGACAGAGUGGUUUAUCGUAUCUGACUUGAAAUCAGAAGAACUUUACGGUUCCGUGGGUUCGAAUCCCACCCUCUCCU